CAAAUGGUUUGUAACCUUUAUUUCCAAUUCCCUUGUAUUGCACAGCUAUGGUCACAAAAUUGUAAUUGCUGGGGGUGGUGUGCUAUGGAGCAGGAGUGUGAUGCAUGCAGGGACCUCAGAGAGCUGCAUGCAUCUGGGGAGUGACUACCCUGGAGCCAGGUCAUGGGACAUUUGGAUUAUAGUAUCCCUGGGAGCUGGGCAGUAGCACAGUGGGUUAAGUGCACAUGGUGCAAAGCACAAGGACCGGCGUAAGGAUUAUAGCAGCCCUGUAGGAUAAUAUAAGCCACCCGGUUCCAGAUGCUAUCAUGAUGCCAACCUGACUUUGCUGGGCAGACAACCUCACCAUGUGUCCUGGAGCCCCACCUCCCCAGAUCUCUUCCCCUCUAUGGAAAGCGAGACAGAGAGGCUGGGAGUAUGGAUUGACCUGUCAAUGCCCAUGUUCAGUGGGGAAACAAUUACAGAAGCCAGACCUCCC
Long non-coding RNA from Erinaceus europaeus (western European hedgehog), 475 nucleotides. RefSeq lists it as uncharacterized. The record is from RefSeq and is a predicted model, not a curated record. The transcript is spliced from 3 exons. NCBI's taxonomy places the organism in Eukaryota, Metazoa, Chordata, Mammalia, Eulipotyphla, Erinaceidae.